Molecule: long non-coding RNA, 544 nt
Filed under: Salmo salar (Atlantic salmon)
Lineage: Eukaryota; Metazoa; Chordata; Actinopteri; Salmoniformes; Salmonidae
Description: lncRNA (ENSSSAG00000089018.1, ENSSSAG00000110128.1)
Source: RNAcentral
GAUGUUAAUAAAUGACACAACAACAAACUAACAAUACUGAGGAUCACUGCUGAUGUGGACCACCAGGCUGCUACUCUCAUCCCGUCACCACUUCCCCUGACGAACAGCCUGACCACCUGAACCAAAGUUUCCCAGUGUGUUUCAAGAAUGGUCCACCACCCAAAGGACAUCCAGCCAACUGUGGGAAGCAUUGGAGUCAACAUGGGCCAGCAUCCCUGAAGUCAACAUGGGCCAGCAUCCCUGGAGUCAACAUGGACCAGCAUCCCUGAAGUCAACAUGGACCAGCAUCCCUGGAGUCAACAUGGGCCAGCAUCCCUGGAGUCAACAUGGACCAGCAUCCCUGGAGUCAACAUGGACCAGCAUCCCUGGAGUCAACAUGGGCCAGCAUCCCUGGAGUCAACAUGGACCAGCAUCCCUGGAGUCAACAUGGACCAGCAUCCCUGGAGUCAACAUGGGCCAGCAUCCCUGGAGUCAACAUGGACCAGCAUCCCUGGAGUCAACAUGGACCAGCAUCCCUGUGGAACGAUUUUGUCACCUUGUACAG